RNAcentral lists this ribosomal RNA (814 nucleotides) under uncultured bacterium. Its description in RNAcentral is "bacterial SSU rRNA". It matches the Rfam family "Bacterial small subunit ribosomal RNA", at positions 9 to 833 of the family's 1533-position model. The record is from RNAcentral.
GAGUUUGAUCCUGGCUCAGAACGAACGUUGGCGGCGUGGAUUAGGCAUGCAAGUCGAGCGAGAACCGGGUAGCAAUACCCGGGGAAAGUGGCGAAAGGGGCAGUAAGGCGUGGGUAACCUACCCCGGGGACGGGGAUAGCCAUCCUAACGGAUGGGUAAUACCUGGCGAUUCGGCGAGGGGACAUCCUCUUACCGGGAAAUGAAUUUCGCCUCGGGAGGGGCUCACGUGAUAUUAGCUUGUUGGCGGGGUAACGGCCCACCAAGGCAAAGAUGUCUAGCGGGUGUGAGAGCACGACCCGCGCCACUGGCACUGAGACACUGGCCAGACUCCUACGGGAGGCUGCAGUCGAGGAUCUUCGGCAAUGGGCGCAAGCCUGACCGAGCGACGCCGCGUGUGCGAUGAAGGCCUUCGGGUUGUAAAGCACUGUCGAGGGGGAGGAAGCCGAAAGGUUGACCUAUCCCUGGAGGAAGCACGGGCUAAGUUCGUGCCAGCAGCCGCGGUAAGACGAACCGUGCAAACGUUGUUCGGAAUCACUGGGCUUAAAGGGCGCGUAGGCGGGCCGGAUAGUCUGUGGUGAAAGCCUCCAGCUUAACUGGAGAAGUGCCAUGGAUACUGCCGGUCUGGAGGAGGGUAGGGGCAUCUGGAACGCUGGGUGGAGCGGUGAAAUGCGUUGAUAUCCAGCGGAACUCCGGUGGCGAAGGCGAGGUGCUGGACCCUUUCUGACGCUGAGGCGCGAAAGCCAGGGGAAGCAACGGGAUUAGAUACCCCGGUAGUCCUGGCCCUAAACGAUGAGGACUAGGUAGUGGACUUACA